Molecule: long non-coding RNA, 845 nt
Organism: Nerophis lumbriciformis (worm pipefish)
Lineage: Eukaryota; Metazoa; Chordata; Actinopteri; Syngnathiformes; Syngnathidae
Source: RefSeq, a predicted model, not a curated record
GAUAGGUGGCCAAAUACUUUUGGCAAUAUAGUGUAUGAAUGAUUCCGACGUUGAAGAAGAAGUGUUUUGUUGUUUUGAUGGAAAAAAUUUAAAGACUCAAACCAAUAGCGAUCCUAAAAAUCAGAAGCAUUCUGGAUGGGAGAAAAGGAUGAGACAGAACCUGCAGAAAAACUGGUAAAGAAGAGCAGACCCAGCACUUAAAAACAAGAGAAAAAGAAAUUCAGGAGUAAUAAUGCAGUUCCCUUAUUGGACCAUCAAUGCUCAAAUCAAGGAGACAUAAGAAGCUGGGUGUGGCCCAACAAAACAUGUCCGCAGUCCGUGUCGUCAUGGUUACAAGUGGUGCACGCGCAGUUUUUGGCCACAGGGUAAGUGACAGCCACUGGGCAACCUUCGAAGUGUUUCACUUCGUAGGACCAAUCUCCGUUGCAGACGUUCUGUUUGGACACGUCCACAGGGACCUCGUAGACUGAAUCCUGCAGACAAAUGACAACAGCACAUUUUCCCUGUUAUACAUCAAAAAAACCUGGAGAUGCCCCGAUUCCGAUCGUGGGGUUUGGAUCAGAGGCCGAUAUUUACAGGUCGGCUGAUGAGCUGCCGAGCCCAGCAGAUCUUUACCACAGCUGUGUCUCAGUGUUUACAUGCUAAAGAUUGGACUCGCUGCAGAUUUGGUCACACGGGGAAGACCCAGGACACGUUGGGAAGACUAUCUCUCCCGGCUAGCCUGGGAACGCCUCGGGAUCCCCCGGGAGGAGCUGGACGAAGUGGCUGGGGAGAGAGAAGUCUGGGCUUCCCUGCUUAGGCUGCUGCCCCCGCGACCUGACCUAGGAUAAGCGGAAGAAGAUGGA